This 366-nucleotide long non-coding RNA is filed under the name Fukomys damarensis (Damara mole-rat). RNAcentral's name for it is "lncRNA (ENSFDAG00000024152.1)". The record is from RNAcentral. Lineage: Eukaryota; Metazoa; Chordata; Mammalia; Rodentia; Bathyergidae.
GAAUAGUAUGGAUUCAUUCUGUUAACAAUUAUCAUUUUAUAUUAUUUAGAAGUCCUGUUUGGCUGCAUAUGACAACAAAGGAAUUGCGGGGAGAUAAUUUUGUCUAUGCAUUAUUGAACAUUUUCCAGAUGAAUGACCUCAAGUACUUGUAAGCAUUGCCUCUACUUUUGAAGUAAAGAGACUAAGGACUCGACUAAACCAACUGUUCAAAAGGAGUUACCAGACCAACAAACAUAAUGUAAAACACUCAUUAUUCCCUUUUGUGGCAGGACUGUUCUCCAUCCAGUUAGAAUACUUACCAGAAUCGGAAGAGUACAAGGAACUCCUAGAUGAAUCAUUGGAACCACCCUUAGGACUGCAGCACCU